GUCUACAGCCAUGCCAUCCUGAACAAGCCCGAUCCCGUCUGAUCUCGGAAGCUAAGCAGGGUCGGGCCUGGUUAGUACUUGGAUGGGAGACCACCUAGGAAGACUAGGUGCUGUUGUCA
Molecule: ribosomal RNA, 119 nt
Filed under: Pteropus alecto (black flying fox)
Lineage: Eukaryota; Metazoa; Chordata; Mammalia; Chiroptera; Pteropodidae
Source: RNAcentral